CGAAAGUCAGAGGUUCGAAGGCGAUCAGAUACCGCCCUAGUUCUGACCGUAAACGAUGCCACCUGACGAUCCGCCAGGGUUACUACCAUGACUCGGCGGGCAGCCCCCGGGAAACCCAAGCCUUCGGGUUCCGGGGGAAGUAUGGUUGCAAAGCUGAAACUUAAAGGAAUUGACGGAAGGGCACCACCAGGAGUGGAGCCUGCGGCUUAAUUUGACUCAACACGGGGAACCUCACCCGGCCCGGACACCGCGAGGAUUGACAGAUUGAGAGCUCUUUCUCGAUUCGGUGGGUGGUGGUGCAUGGCCGUUCUUAGUUGGUGGAGCGAUUUGUCUGGUUAAUUCCGAUAACGAACGAGACUCUAGCCGGUUAAGUAGCCCGAGCGGUUUUUGAUCUUUGCCGUCCGUUGCCCCCGUCCUCGGCUGGGCGGGUUUAGUUAGUGGUCAUCCGACCGUUCAUGCCUUCGUGGCGUGUGACGGGAGGGGAAGCCGCUUUCUCUUCAAGCUUUCGUCGAGACGGGGCGCGGAGCAUAACCGAAGGCCGCCGGCUUUUAAGGAAGCUUCUUAGAGGGACGAGCGGCGUUCAGCCGCCCGAGAUUGA
Molecule: ribosomal RNA, 598 nt
Filed under: Peripatoides suteri
Lineage: Eukaryota; Metazoa; Onychophora; Udeonychophora; Euonychophora; Peripatopsidae
Description: bacterial SSU rRNA
Rfam family: Eukaryotic small subunit ribosomal RNA
Source: RNAcentral